RNAcentral lists this ribosomal RNA (424 nucleotides) under Verrucomicrobiota bacterium. Its description in RNAcentral is "Verrucomicrobia bacterium partial 16S ribosomal RNA". It matches the Rfam family "Bacterial small subunit ribosomal RNA", at positions 355 to 776 of the family's 1533-position model. Lineage: Bacteria; Pseudomonadati; Verrucomicrobiota. The record is from RNAcentral. RNAcentral also lists the same sequence under 1 other name.
UGAGGAAUAUUGGUCAAUGGGCGGUAGCCUGAACCAGCCAAGUAGCGUGCAGGAUGACGGCCCUAUGGGUUGUAAACUGCUUUUAUGCGGGGAUAAAGUCACCCACGUGUGGGUGUUUGCAGGUACCGCAUGAAUAAGGACCGGCUAAUUCCGUGCCAGCAGCCGCGGUAAUACGGAAGGUCCGGGCGUUAUCCGGAUUUAUUGGGUUUAAAGGGAGUGUAGGCGGCCUGUUAAGCGUGUUGUGAAAUGUAGAUGCUCAACAUCUGAACUGCAGCGCGAACUGGCUGGCUUGAGUACACGCAACGUGGGCGGAAUUCAUGGUGUAGCGGUGAAAUGCUUAGAUAUCAUGAGGAACUCCUAUUGCGAAGGCAGCUCACGGGAGUGUCACUGACGCUUAAGCUCGAAGGUGCGGGUAUCAAACAGG